RNAcentral lists this transfer RNA (73 nucleotides) under Cordylochernes scorpioides. RNAcentral describes it as "tRNA-Thr". The record is from RNAcentral. Lineage: Eukaryota; Metazoa; Arthropoda; Arachnida; Pseudoscorpiones; Chernetidae.
GUCCAGGGGCGGGAAUCGAACCCACAAUCUUCUGCUUACCGGGCAGGUGCCAUGUCCACUAGGCUACCCUGGA